This 88-nucleotide transfer RNA is filed under the name Oscillospiraceae bacterium. Its description in RNAcentral is "tRNA-Leu". It matches the Rfam family "tRNA". Rfam says of the family: Transfer RNA (tRNA) molecules are approximately 80 nucleotides in length. Their secondary structure includes four short double-helical elements and three loops (D, anti-codon, and T loops). The record is from RNAcentral. Lineage: Bacteria; Bacillati; Bacillota; Clostridia; Eubacteriales; Oscillospiraceae.
GCCGGUGUGAUGGAAUUGGCAGACGUGACGGACUCAAAAUCCGUUGGGCUAAUCACCCGUGCGGGUUCGACCCCCGCCACCGGCACCA